UAGGCGUAAAUGAUGCGAGUUAAGUGUGGGGCAUCUACGAGAUGGCCCUGUGCUGUAGGGUAGCCGUUAAACUCGCUGCCUGGGGAGUUCGGUCGCAAGGCUGAAACUUAAAGGAAUUAGCGGGGGAGCACCACAAGAGGUGGAGGCUGCGGUUCAAUUGGACUCAACGCCGGAAACUCAUCGGGAGCGACAGCAGUAUGAUUGCCAGGUUGAUGACCUUGCUUGACAAGCUGAGAGGUGGUGCAUGGCGUAGUCGUGU
Molecule: ribosomal RNA, 259 nt
Filed under: uncultured archaeon
Lineage: Archaea
Description: partial 16S ribosomal RNA
Rfam family: Archaeal small subunit ribosomal RNA
Source: RNAcentral